CUGGUGACGAAUACGUGCGGGGAAACACCUGAUCCCAUUCCGAACUCAGUAGUAAAGUCCGCACGGCCGAUGGUAGUCCUGAUCGGGCAAGAGUAGGUGAUCGCCAGC
This 108-nucleotide ribosomal RNA is filed under the name Phycisphaerales bacterium. The record is from RNAcentral. Lineage: Bacteria; Pseudomonadati; Planctomycetota; Phycisphaerae; Phycisphaerales.